GAUGAACGCUGGCGGCGUGCCUAAUACAUGCAAGUCGAGCGAACAGACGAGGAGCUUGCUCCUCUAACGUUAGCGGCGGACGGGUGAGUAACACGUGGAUAACCUACCUAUAAGACUGGGAUAACUUCGGGAAACCGGAGCUAAUACCGGAUAAUAUAUUGAACCGCAUGGUUCAAUAGUGAAAGACGGUUUUGCUGUCACUUAUAGAUGGAUCCGCGCCGCAUUAGCUAGUUGGUAAGGUAACAGCUUACCAAGGCAACGAUGCGUAGCCGACCUGAGAGGGUGAUCGGCCACACUGGAACUGAGACACGGUCCAGACUCCUACGGGAGGCAGCAGUAGGGAAUCUUCGGCAAUGGGCGAAAGCCUGACGGAGCAACGCCGCGUGAGUGAUGAAGGUCUUCGGAUCGUAAAACUCUGUUAUUAGGGAAGAACAAAUGUGUAAGUAACUAUGCACGUCUUGACGGUACCUAAUCAGAAAGCCACGGCUAACUACGUG
This 497-nucleotide ribosomal RNA is filed under the name uncultured bacterium. RNAcentral describes it as "partial 16S ribosomal RNA". It matches the Rfam family "Bacterial small subunit ribosomal RNA", at positions 28 to 507 of the family's 1533-position model. The record is from RNAcentral.